This 301-nucleotide ribosomal RNA is filed under the name uncultured bacterium. RNAcentral describes it as "partial 16S ribosomal RNA". It matches the Rfam family "Bacterial small subunit ribosomal RNA", at positions 509 to 807 of the family's 1533-position model. The record is from RNAcentral.
CAGCAGCCGCGGGAAUACGAAGGGGGCUAGCGUUGUUCGGAAUUACUGGGCGUAAAGCGCACGUAGGCGGAUAUUUAAGUCAGGGGUGAAAUCCCAGAGCUCAACUCUGGAACUGCCUUUGAUACUGGGUAUCUUGAGUAUGGAAGAGGUUAGUGGAAUUGCGAGUGUAGAGGUGAAAUUCGUAGAUAUUCGCAGGAACACCAGUGGCGAAGGCGGCUAACUGGUCCAUAACUGACGCUGAGGUGCGAAAGCGUGGGGAGCAAACAGGAUUAGAUACCCGUGUAGUCCCUGUCUCUUAUAC